Chrysemys picta bellii (western painted turtle) is the source of this 744-nucleotide non-coding RNA. The record is from RefSeq and is a predicted model, not a curated record. NCBI's taxonomy places the organism in Eukaryota, Metazoa, Chordata, Testudines, Emydidae.
UGCCUUUCCAGGAAAGCUUGGCUCCUUUCAGACAGGGAGGAGCUGUUUGCCCCACAUGGGGAGGCUGGGGUUCUGGCCUCUGCCCUAGAGCUUGCAGCCAAGAGAAAGAACAGCCUUUCCAGUCAUGCCACAGCAUAGCAGCGGGCAGGACAGGGCGCAGGGGCGGGGAGAGCAGGGCAUGUCUGCACCAAGACUCCAGCGCUGGCAAAGCACGGAGACCACAGGAGCCGCAGAAGGUCACAUGACCAACAUCGACUAAUGACGAGGCCACACUCAACGGAAUGGGACUGGUCAUCGCCCAGGCAUUAUCCGAGUACAACAGGCAGUACAAAGAUAAGGAAGAGGAGCACCAGAGUGGCUUUUUCUCAGCCUUAACCAAUAUGGUGGGCAGCAUGUUCAUAGCCGAUGCCGAUGAGAAAAUCUCCGUCCAAACGAAUGAGGCAAUUCUUCUGGCCCUCUACGAAGCCGUUCACUUAAACUGGAACGACAGGAUUUGGGUUUGUAUCAUUUCGUUGCAAAAAGUUUCCACUCAUGAAGGAAGGCUGAGGGGAGAGACGAUUGAAGCCCAGCUUAAUACAGGCUCCUUGAUUGACAGCCUUAACAUAUGGAAGCUUGGGACAUGGACAUCAGAUUGUGACAUGGAAUCCCCCAUAAAAACCAUGGCCUGAGGGGUGGAGUGAACGAGCUCUGAACACUUUAAAAAAAAAAAAAGGAUUUGUGCUGCCCCUAACAUCCCUGUCUCUC